GCUUUGAGGGGUCUGCAACCAGGGAUGAGGAAUUAACACCUCGCAUGCCCCUUUGGAGGCCAUAGUCUUCUCAUCUGUCCUUCUUCACUCUAAAUACAAGAUCAUCUACACCCACAGCCCCCAAGCCCAAAUCUGAGCCAGGAUGACCUCUAAGAGUCAAGAUGAUGAAGAUUUCUGCCUCCUUGGCUGGAUUUAUUCCCAAACCACUCUUCUCUGACGGUCUCAGCAUAGGAAUCUUUCUAGUUAUGUCACUCUCCUGCUUCAAAUCUUUCUACCCCUUCUUAGCAUGGUCUAUAAGGUUGCUUGUGGUCUGCUCUUCUCCAUCACUACAGACUCCCUUCUCUCUUCUGACCUAAGUUCUAGUUGUAAUGAGCGUCUUCUAGCUGCUCAAACUAACCAUUCUCUGUCUUGGCUUCCUGCCUUCACACAACUUGUUUCUACCUUUCCAUCCAACUGGCCCAAAUUCCACACUGGUUCCUCCAGUUAACUCACUUCCUUGUGGAGGCUCGUCCCUUACUUCUAGCAUAGGUGAGUUCCCGACGCCCUGGCUACCAAGAUCCUACUUUCCCUGCAUUGAAGCAACCAACAUGCAUUGCUACUAUCACUCAUUUAUCUCCCUUCCCUGCCAAACUCUAAACCCCUGGAGGGCAGGGGCCUUGUCCAUCUUGUUCAUUGUUGUGUUGUACUGUCCAGCGUGGUGUUUGGACACAUAAGUACUCAGCAAAUAGUUGUUAAAUGAAACACCAACUUCUAUUUAAUCAUGCAUUCAUCAGACAUGCUAACAGCUGAGCGAGGGGCCUGGAGAUUCAGAAAUCGAUGGGCAUUGUAGGUGCUGCAGAAUAUCUCUACUUCCUCCUGUAACCCAUGAACCAUGGAGCUCCUGCCACUCUGGUGAGGGAGCGACCAAGUGAAAAGUGGGAAGCAGGAGAAAAAACCGUGGAUCCCAGCUAUAAAUUAAACAAAUGCUCGGCAUUAAAAAAUUAUUUUAACACAUCAAAUAUUAAGUCAUUCGUAUGCUCUGCAAUUACUUUAUCUGUCAUCAGCACACUCAGGCUAUGUGAAGCGGUGACAGAUGGAAAGGAGUCCAGGCCAAGUUUUCCUGCAGGUGUGCAUCUGGGCUAGCGAGGAGAAUUCUGUACGUGCAGGAAGGGAGGGGAAGGGGCAGGGUGACCGAGGUUAUGAAACUGGAGCUGAUGCUAGAGGCUUGGCAAAAAGUAAGAAUUACAGAUUUGCAUCCUGGAGAGCUGCAGGGCACUGCAGUCCCUGGGAACUGAGCGCGAUGGUUAACCAGGCAGCUCAAGGGAGGCGAAACAGCAUGCUGCCCACAUCACAGGAGGGGAAAAUCAAGGCCCAGCAUAACUGAGCCCUUAGUAGGGCAGAGCAAGUAGUUCUGGCUCCUCUCACCCCCUCGUUUGAAGCCUAACCAGUUAGGUGAAUCGAUUCUGAGAGCAGCAACCCAGAGAAAGUCAGGCAAUUGGAAGGGCGGGGAGAAGGGGGUAUGAGAUUGCCCAGAGACUAGGGCUCCUUAGAGGCCAGCGGGUGAGGGAUGGAGGGCUGGCGGGAGGACCAGACACAAAAUAUCUGACCCAGGCCAAGGGAUUUUUCUAGAACAUUUCCUAAUACAGGAUAUGAGCCUGACUCAUAGCAUAAGGAAAGACUGAAUGAAUGGUCCAUUUCAACCCAACCUAAUGCAACACUUUCGCAGGUCUAAGGAGGUGCACUCGUGCCAGGUGGUAUUACAUAUUUGCUCAUGUCUGCUUGUCCCCAACUCCUCCCCCCAACUCCCAAACGUGGGGUUCUGCUUCACACAGCAUCCUUAGCUGCCUCUGACAAGUGAGAACCUCUAUCACCUACUCUAGGAGGGCAGCUGAGUCCCACCCCUCCUGUUACCCACACCAUGAAGCCCACACUCAGCCACUGUCUCUUCCUCCUUCUUCCACGGUCUGUAUUCUGUCCGACACUUUGAUUUCAAAUCACACUGUCUUAACUCCCUUCGUUAACUUUGAUAUCAGGGCUCACCACUCUCCUUGCCUUCUAAUCUCUCCCUCAUAAAUCUGGACAAGUAAAACAGCCCCUCAUGUAGACUGAACCCCCACCUGGACCCCACCCCAAACACACACACACACACACACUUGGCGUGUGGCCAGCUGUAAAAGCAAAUCUGCUCUGCCGUGUUCGUCCUCUGAAGCCAUGACCUACUCGGCAUGAAACGAUGCUGGUUCUCUGCCCUCGUCUCGGGCUGAACAGGAGGGAAAUGACUGAAAGCAUAGCAUGAAGGAAUUUAGGUUGAUAUGAAAAGUAACUUGCAGCUCAUGGAGUUGUGGAUUUCAGGCUUAACAAAGUUCUGAAAGUCCUUUUCCACGUGACCGUGGAAGAUGUCUUUCUGGGGAAGCUUAGGCAGGGCCAUGCUUGGCAGAGGGAUUAGGUCUCCCUGACACCAGGGUGCUCUUGCCCUGUGACAAGGCCACCUCGCUGAGAGCCAACUGCCAAACGGCCACAGUGCUAAAACCAAGACUUGCAGCAAAAUUUCAGGGAACUGACUGACCCAGGGCCUAAGCAGGGCAGUGACAGGGCAGAAGAGGACUGCAGCCCCUGCAGGGCACAGCGUGUGUAGACCAGACAAGCGUAUUCAAAAAUGCCAUCGCUUUGUUUUGGUUUAAUAACAACGUCUGACUUGUUCAGAAAUUUCAGUAACACUAAAGAAAAGGAAAAGAUUUUGAUGUUUCUCAAAAGAGGCAAAGGUUGUUAAGAAUUGAGAAACUCUGUUCUUGGAUAAUGUACAUCUUUUUAAAAUAUUUUUUAUUAAUUUUAUUAAUAAAUGGUUGUUUUCUUAUU
Molecule: long non-coding RNA, 2835 nt
Organism: Leopardus geoffroyi (Geoffroy's cat)
Lineage: Eukaryota; Metazoa; Chordata; Mammalia; Carnivora; Felidae
Exons: 2
Source: RefSeq, a predicted model, not a curated record